Molecule: transfer RNA, 85 nt
Filed under: Puniceicoccales bacterium
Lineage: Bacteria; Pseudomonadati; Verrucomicrobiota; Opitutia; Puniceicoccales
Description: tRNA-Leu
Rfam family: tRNA
About the family: Transfer RNA (tRNA) molecules are approximately 80 nucleotides in length. Their secondary structure includes four short double-helical elements and three loops (D, anti-codon, and T loops). Further hydrogen bonds mediate the characteristic L-shaped molecular structure. tRNAs have two regions of fundamental functional importance: the anti-codon, which is responsible for specific mRNA codon recognition, and the 3' end, to which the tRNAs corresponding amino acid is attached (by aminoacyl-tRNA synthetases). tRNAs cope with the degeneracy of the genetic code in two manners: having more than one tRNA (with a specific anti-codon) for a particular amino acid; and 'wobble' base-pairing, i.e. permitting non-standard base-pairing at the 3rd anti-codon position.
Source: RNAcentral
GCCCGGGUGGUGAAAUUGGCAGACACGCUGGAUUUAGGUUCCUGUGCCGCAAGGCGUGCGGGUUCAAAUCCCGCCCCGGGCACCA